RNAcentral lists this ribosomal RNA (492 nucleotides) under uncultured bacterium. RNAcentral describes it as "partial 16S ribosomal RNA". It matches the Rfam family "Bacterial small subunit ribosomal RNA", at positions 30 to 507 of the family's 1533-position model. The record is from RNAcentral.
AGUGAACGCUGGCGGUAGGCUUAACACAUGCAAGUCGAACGGCAGCACAGUAAGAGCUUGCUGUUACGGGGGGCGAGUGGCGGACGGGUGAGGUAUACAUCCGAAUCUACACUUUCGUGGGGGCUAACGUAGGGAAGCUUACUCCCAUACCGCAUCCGACCUACGGGGGAAAGCAGGGGAGCUUUGCAGCUUGCGCGAUUGAAUGGGCCGAUGUGGGGUUUGGUAGUUGGCGGGGUAAAGGCCGACCAAGGCGGCGAACCGUAGCUGGACGGAGAGGAUGAUCGCCGACCUGGGAAGUGGGACACGGUCCAGGGGCCUACGGGAGGGAGCAGUGGGGAAUAUUGGGCAGUGGGCGGAAGCCUGAUCCAGCCAUACCGCGUGGGUGGAGAAGGCCUUCGGGUUGUAAAGCCCUUUUGUUGGGAAAGAAAAGCAGCAGGUUGAUACCCCGCUGUUCUGACGGUACCCAAAGAAUAAGCACCGGCUAACUUCGUG